GGCUGAAGUCGGACGCUUAACCGACUUCAGCCAGGUCACGAUCUCGCGGUCUGUGAGUUCGAGCCCCGCGUCAGGCUCUGGGCUGAUGGCUCGGAGCCUGGAGCCUGUUUCAGAUUCUGUGUCUCCCUCUCUCUCUGCCCCUCCCCCGUUCAUGCUCUGUCUCUCUCUGUCCCAAAAAUAAAUAAAAAACGUUGAAAAAAAAAUUAAAAAAAAAAAAAGAGCU
Panthera uncia (snow leopard) is the source of this 223-nucleotide long non-coding RNA. RefSeq lists it as uncharacterized. NCBI's taxonomy places the organism in Eukaryota, Metazoa, Chordata, Mammalia, Carnivora, Felidae. The transcript is spliced from 2 exons. The record is from RefSeq and is a predicted model, not a curated record.